Molecule: ribosomal RNA, 256 nt
Filed under: uncultured Gardnerella sp.
Lineage: Bacteria; Bacillati; Actinomycetota; Actinomycetes; Bifidobacteriales; Bifidobacteriaceae
Description: partial 16S ribosomal RNA
Rfam family: Bacterial small subunit ribosomal RNA
Source: RNAcentral
CGAACGGGUGAGUAAUGCGUGACCAACCUGCCCCAUGCUCCGGAAUAGCUCUUGGAAACGGGUGGUAAUGCUGGAUGCUCCAACUUGACGCAUGUCUUGUUGGGAAAGUGUUUAGUGGCAUGGGAUGGGGUCGCGUCCUAUCAGCUUGUAGGCGGGGUAAUGGCCCACCUAGGCUUCGACGGGUAGCCGGCCUGAGAGGGCGGACGGCCACAUUGGGACUGAGAUACGGCCCAGACUCCUACGGGAGGCAGCAGCC